GGUUCUGGAAGUGUAUCAGCCAUGGUGAAUGAUUCUGCACGAGAUGGACUAGGUUCAGAGAACCAUGCAAUGAUGGAACUUCCAGUGGGACUACUUGAUGAGGAUGAAAGGGACAAUGAAAUGAAUAUUUCUAAAAGUGAGGAAUUUAUUGAGGAGCUGCCUGUGGGACUACUUGAUGAGAAGGAAGAAGAACCUGAAGAAGAGAAGGACGAUGAAGCUAAGCCUAAAGAGGUUCUGAUGGCACAAGAAAGGGAAUGUAAUGCAGAUGAGGAAACAAGUUCUUCCACAGAUGAUACUUCAAAAGAAACUCAAUCAGAGCCACAGC
RNAcentral lists this long non-coding RNA (325 nucleotides) under Vigna radiata. Its description in RNAcentral is "long non-coding RNA (VRAD_LNC009524)". Lineage: Eukaryota; Viridiplantae; Streptophyta; Magnoliopsida; Fabales; Fabaceae. The record is from RNAcentral.